Long non-coding RNA from Gallus gallus (chicken), 10336 nucleotides. The record is from Ensembl. NCBI's taxonomy places the organism in Eukaryota, Metazoa, Chordata, Aves, Galliformes, Phasianidae.
GGCGAGGUGAGCGCUGGGCCGGGACCCCCCCACGACCCCCCCACGACCCCCCCCGGUGGGGACGGACGGGUUGGGGGGGGGGGGUUUGGGGGGGGGUUGGGGGGGGUGGGGCCGUGCGGCGGUGCUGGAGGGCCCUAUAGAGUCCCUAUAGAGCCCCCGGUUGGCGUCCCAUAGAGAGCCCCCGUAGAAGCUCGUGGAGGCCCUAUAUGGGCCCUAUAGAGUCCCUAUAGAGGCCCCGAUCGGCGCCCCAUAGAGAGCCCCCAUAGAAGCUCACUGAGGCCCUAUAUGGGCCCUGUGUCCAUCCCCAUAGGCAUCGCUGAGCUCUCUGUAGGGCCCCUAUGGAACCCCGUGGAGCCCCUAUGUGGGCCCUAUAUAGAUCCUCCCCCCCCCAUAGAGCCCUAUAGGGCCCCUAUAGAGCCCCCAUGGAGCCCCUAUGUAGAGGGCCCUAUAUAAAGCCCCCCCCCUCCCCCCCAUUGAGCCCUAUAGGGCCCCUAUGGAACCCCAUGAAGCGCCUAUGUAGUGGGCCCUAUAUAGAGCCCCUCCACCCCCCAUUGAGCCCUAUAGGGCCCCUAUAGAGCCCCCAUGGAGCCCCUAUGUAGAGGGCCCUAUAUAUAGCCCCCCCCAUCCCCAUAGAGCCCUAUAGGGCCCCUAUGGAACCCCAUGAAGCCCCUAUGUAGUGGGCCCUAUAUAGAGCCCCUCCACCCCCCAUUGAGCCCUAUAGGGCCCCUAUAGAGCCCCCAUGGAGCCCCUAUGUGGGCCCUAUAUAGAUCCUCCCCCCCAUUGAGCCCCAUAGGGCCCCUAUAGAGCCCCCAUGGAGCCCCUAUGUAGAGGGCCCUAUAUACAUCCCCCCCCAUCCCCAUAGAGCCCUAUAGGGCCCCUAUGGAACCCCGUGGAGCCCCUAUGUAGAGGGCCCUAUAUAGAGCCCCCCCAUAGAACCCCCAUAGGCUUCAUAGAACCCCUUAUAGAACCCCAUACAGCCCCUGGAGGACCGUCCUACAGGACCCCCCCCCCCCCCGAGCCCCAUUGACCCCCCACAGCUGCUAUCCUGGGUGCCAAAGCCCCAUAUAGAACCUAUAGAACCCCCUACAGAGCUCCCAUUGUCCCCCCCCCAUACAACCCCUAUAGCACCGCCUAUAGAGCUCCCAUAGAAUCCCCCCUAGGCCCCAUACAAUCCCAUUGCCCCCUCCAGCUGCUCUCCGUGCUUCCGGACCCCUAUAGAACCCCAAUAGAUCCCUAUAGAACCCCCAUAGACCCCAUACGACCCCCAUAGAGUGCCGCUGCCGCUGUCCCUGUUGCCAAACCCCAUAGAAUUCCCAUAGUUCUCCACCGAACCGCAUUGCCCCAUAGACCCAUAUAGAACCCCUAUAGCGCCCCAUUGCCGCUGUCCGUGAUGCUAAUCCACCAUAGAACCCCCAUAGACCCCUAUAGAACCCCUAUAGUCCCCAAUAGAACCCCCAUAGACCCCUAUAGAACCCCUAUAGAGCCCCAUUGCCGCUGUCCGUCUUGCCGAGCCCCUAUAGACAGCCUAUAGACCCCUAUAGAACCCUACUGCCACUGUCGGUGGUGCUGAGACCCCACAGACCCCUAUAGAACCCCUAUAGCGCCCCAUUGCCGCUGUCCGUGAUGCUGAUCCACCAUAGAACCCCCAUAGAACCCUAUAGAACCCCUAUAGUCCCUCAUAGAACCCCCACAGACCCCUAUAGAGCCCCAUUGCCGCUGUCCGUGGUGCUGAUCCACCAUAGAACCCACAUAGAACCCUAUAGAACCCCUAUAGUCCCCAAUAGAACCCCCAUAGACCCCUAUAGAACCCCUAUAGAGCCCCAUUGCCGCUGCCCGCGGUGUUAAGCCCCACAGAUCCCUGUAGUACCCCUAUAGUCCCCAAUAGAACCCCCAUAGACCCCCAUAGAACCCCUAUAUCCCCCAUAGAGCCCCCAUACACCCCAUAGAACCCCUAUAGUCCCCCAUAGACCCCUAUAGAUCCCUAUAGAACCCCCACAGUCCACUUUACAGCCCCAUUGCCACUGUCCGUGGUGCUGAACCGCAUAGACCCCUAUAGUACCCCGAUAGUCCCCAUAGAACCUCCAUGGAUUCCUAUACCCCUAUAGCCCCACGUAGACCCCUAUAGAACCUAUAGCACCCCUAUAGUCCCUCACUGACCCUAAUGGACCCCUAUGGAACCCAGCGGUCCCCAUUAAAGGCCUAUAGACCCCUAUAGUACCCCAAUAGCCUGCCAUAGACCCCCAUAGACCCCUAUAGAACCCUCACAGCCCGCAUUAGAGCCCCAUAGACCCCUAUACUACCCCCGUAGUUCCCCACAGACUCCCACAGACCCCUAUAGAACCCCCACAGCCCUCAUUAGAGUCCCAUUGCCACUGUCCGUGGUGCUGAACACCAUGGACCCCUAUAGUUCCCCCAUAGAUCCCCAUAAUACCCCUAUAGUCCCCCACAGACCCCCACAGACCCCUAUAGAACCCCCACAGCCCCCAUUAGAGCCCCCAUUUGCCACUGUCCGUGGUGCUGAACCGCAUAGACCCCUAUAGUACUCCUAUAGUGCUCCAUAGACCUCUAUAGACCCCUAUAGGGCCCCACAGACCCCUAUAGAACCCCCACAGCCCCCAUUAGAGCUGCAUUGCCGCUGUCUGUGGUGCUGAACCCCAUAGACCCCCAUAGUACCCCCAUAGACCCCCAUAAUACCCCCAUAGACCCCCAUAAUACCCCUAUAGUCCCCCACAGACCCCCACAGACCCCCACAGACCCCUAUAGAACCCCGACAGUCCCCAUUAGAGCAGCAUUGCCGCUGUCCGUGGUGCUGAACCCCAUAGACCCCUAUAGUACCCACAUAGACCCCCAUAAUACCCCUAUAGUCCCCGAGAGCCCCCUAUAGAACCCCCACAGCCCCCAUUACAGCAGCAUUGCAGCUAUCCGUGGUGCUGAACCCCAUAGACCCCCAAAGUACCCCCAUAGACCCCCAUAAUACCCCUAUAGUCCCCCACAGACCCCCACAGACCCCUAUAGAACCCCGACAGCCCUCAUUAGAGCAGCAUUGCCGCUGUCCGUGGUGCUGAACCCCAUAGACCCCUAUAGUACCCCCAUAGACCCCCAUAAUACCCCUAUAGUCCCCCACAGAGCCGUAUAGAACCCCCACAUCCUCCAUUAGAGCAGCAUUGCCGCUGUCCGUGGUGCUGAACCCCAUAGACCCCUAUAGUACUCCUAUAGUGCUCCAUAGACCUCUAUAGACCCCUAUAGGGCCCCACAGACCCCUAUAGAACCCCCACAGCCCCCAUUAGAGCAGCAUUGCCGCUGUCCGUGGUGCUGAGCCCCAUAGACCACUAUAGAACCCCUAUAGUCCCCCAUAGAGUCCCCAUAGACCUCAUAGAACCCCUAUGGUCCCCCAUAGACCCCUAUAGAUCCCUAUAGAACCCCCACAGCCCACUUUACAGCCCCAUUGCCACUGUCCAUGCUGCUGAGACACAAAGACCCCUAUAGAACCCCUCUAGUCCCCCAUAGAGCCCCCAUAGACCUCAUAGAACCCCUAUGGUCCCCCAUAGACCCCUAUAGAUCCCUAUAGAACCCCCACAGCCCCCAUUAGAGCAGCAUUGCCGCUGUCCGUGGUGCUGAAUCCCCACCCGGCGGCUCUCGAGGCCCCGCCCAGGGCUUCCCCCGUCCGCGGGUUCGAAUCCCCCCUCCUCCUCCUCCCCUCCCCUCCCCCCUUUCCCCCCUCAAUCCCCCCCCACCCCCCCCCCCCCGGAUGCCCCCCCCGCGCCCCGCGGUGACGGGUAUUCUCGGGCGGAUAACACGGCCGCGCUGUUAUUGCUGGAGAAUACGCGUAGCCGAGGGGACGCCCCGAGCCGGCCUCCUCGUGCAUCCUCUCGUGCAUCCUCGUGCAUCCCCGUGCACGGGGCCGUGCAUCCUCGUGAGCCCGCGGGCGUCCCCGUGAAGCUUUGGGCGUCCUCGGGUGUCCCUCUGCAGCCGUCCCCGUGUGUGCUCUGCGCCCUCGUGCAACCUCUUGCACCCUCGUGCACCCACCCCCGUGCACGCCCUUGUAUCCCCGUGCAGCCUCGUGCCUCCCCGUGCCACGCCGUGCCUCGCCAUGCAUCCUCGUGCAUCCUGGUGCAAUGGCACGCGGCCUCGUGCAACCGUGUGCACCGGGCUGGGCGACUUCGGCUGCCCACACGUGUCCCCGUGUGUCCUCUGCACACUUGUGCAUCCCCGUGCCUCCCCGUGCAACCUCGUGCAACUCUGAGCAUCCUUGCACAUCCCCGUGCAUCCUCGUGCCGCCUCAUGCAUCCAUCCUCGUGCAUCCCCGUGCAUCCAAUCUUGUGCACCCCCUUGCAUCCUUGUGCCGCCCUCUGCACCCUCGUGCGUCCGUCCGCGUGCACCGUUGUGCACCAAGUGCAUCCUCCACGUGCAUCCCCACGCACCCUCGUGCAUCCUCGUGUAACCCCGGGCACCCUCGUGCACCAUUUUGCACCCUGACCAUGAGCCACCAUGCGUCACUGUGCAUCCAUCCUCAUGCAUCGUGCAAUGCUGUGCACGCGCGUGCACCCCCGUGCAUCCUUGUGCAACCCCGUGCAUCCUUGUGUGAUGCUGUGCAACACUGUGCAACCUCGUGCAUGCACCCUCAUGCAACACUGUGCAUCCUCGUGCAACCCCGUGCUCCCUCGUGCAACACCGUGCAUCCUCGUGCGAUGCUGUGCAACGCUGUGCAUCCUCGUGCAUUCUCGUGCAACACUGUGCAACACUGUGCACCCUCGUGCAUGCAUCCUCGUGCAACACCGUGCAUCCUCGUGCGAUGCUGUGCAACCCGGUGCAUCCUCGUGCAACCCCGUGCAUCCUCGUGCAACACUGUGCAACACUGUGCAACCUCGUGCAUGCACCCUCAUGCAACACCGUGCAUCCUUGUGCAACCCCGUGCAUCCUCGUGCGACACCGUGCAUCCUCGUGCGACGCUGUGCAACACUGUGCACCCUCGUGCAUCCCGUGCAUGCAUCCUCGUGCACCGCCGUGCAUCCUCGUGCACCCCUCUUGCAUCCCGCAGCCCCCCCGUGCAUCCAUCCCUGUGAAUCCCCGUGCAACGCUGCACAUCCCUCAUGCCCCCCAACCCCAUGCAUUCUUAUGCUCUCCGGUGCAUCCUCGUGUGCUCACACCCGUGCAUUGUCGUGCAACCCGGCGCCUCCUCGUGCACCCUCGUGCAUCCUCGUGCAAGCCCUGCAGCCUCAUGCAUCCCUGUGCAUCAUCCAUCCCUGCGCCUCCUGGUGCACAUCGUGCGUCCCGUCUCGUCUGCGCAUGCGCGGAGCCGCGCCCAACUCGCCCCGUUGCCCGGCAACAGCCCGCCGUCGCCAAGCAACGCGUUGCCAGGCAGCGGGGAGUGACUGACAGCUCCGGGCACGCCCCCCCCUGCCGGGUACCGCCUCCCUAUUGGCUGAGCGGAGCGGGAAGGGGCGGGGCUUUGAAGCGCGUCGGGAGACGGGGCGGUGCUGGAUUGGCGGCUGGAGCGGCCAAUGAAAAGCGAGGAGGGGGACGGCGCGCGGGACGGGCAUCCCGCCCUCCUUUUCGUGCCCUCCGAUUGGCUGAGACGCGCGCGGUGGGCGGGAGCAGCGCUGAGGGAAGCCGCUCCCCGAUUGGCUGAGGGGCUCCGAGCUCCCAUUGGCCGCUCCCCGCGGAACGGAGGCAGAGAUUGGCCACGGCCGAAUGGCGGCAGCGCUGGAACGGGCGCUGGGCCCGGCUGGGCCGGAAGCGGACGCGUCCGUGCCGGAGGCGCCGCUGUUGGUGCUCGGCCCGGCGGGCUCGGGCCGCACGGCGCUGCUGCUGCGGGCGGCGUUGGCAGGAGGAGGGGACGGGCCCCGCGCUCUCUUCUUAGCGCCCAGCGCUCCCUCCCGACUCCCAGAGGGCGGCGGCGGUGACCCGAGGGCGCUGCAGCGCCUGGAGCUCCGCUACCCCCCCACCCUGGCAGCCCUGGCCCAGGAGUUGGGGGCAAUGGCGGCCCGAGCCCGGCCCCCCGGCUUGCUGCUGCUGGACGGGCUGGAGCACUACAUCCAGGGGGGGCCCAGCGCCCCCGCCCGCCUGGCCGCCCUGCUGCUGGAGGCCUCCCGCGCCCCCCGACCCCCGGCCCGGCUCCUGGCUGCCCUCCGUGUGCCCCCCCCCGGGCCCCGUGUGCUGCCCGUCCUGCGCCGUUACUUCCCGGCUGAGUGCCGUCUGAGACCCCUCCCCGGGGUCCCACUGCGGGUGAACGUCCGCCUCGUCCUGCCCGGAUCGGUGCCGCGGGGAUGGAGGCUGCGCUUCGAGCCCCACGGGGGGCUGAACGUCACCCCCGGGCCUGGGGACGGCGAUGGGGACGAGGAUGAGGACGGAGAUGGCAGUGGGGAUGAAGGCUGAGGGUGAGUCGGGUGGUGAUGUGCAGCCCUCGGGUGUUGUGGUGUCACUGAGCCUGGCUGGUGUGGAGCCCAGGUGAUGUGGAGCCCAGGUGACACGGUGACAUGGAGCUGCCCGGUGACAUGGAGCCCAGGUGACACGGUGACAUGGAGCCCAGGUGAUGUGGAGCCCAUGUGACACAGUGACAUGGAGCUGCCAGGUGACAUGGAGCCCAGGUGACACGGUGACAUGGAGCCCAGGUGAUGUGCAGCCCGGGUGACACAGUGACAUGGAGCCCGGGUGAUGUGGAGUCCAGGUGACACGGAACCGAGGUGACAUGGGGUCUGCAUGGCACAGUGACACGGAGCCUGGGUGACACUGUGGCGUGGGACCCAGGUGACAGGGAACCAAGGUGACACAGAACCUGAGUGACACAGACCCAAAUGGCACGGAACCCAGGUGACACAGAACCCAGGUGACAUGGAGCCCUGGUGACAUGGGACCGGGUGACACAAUGCCUAUGUGUCAUGGAACCCACGCGACAUGGAACCCAGGUGACACGGAACCCGAGUGCUAUGGAACCCAGGGGACGCAAUGCCUGUGUGACACAGAACCCGGGUGACAUGGAAUGCAGGUGACAGAGUCUGUGCGGCACGACACGGAGCCUGGGUGACACUGUGACACGGAACACAGGUGACACGGAACACAGGUGACAUGGAACCCAGAUGGCACAGUGCCUAUAUGACAUGGAACCCAGGUGACACGGAACCCAGAUGUCACAGAACCCAGGUGACACAGUGCCUAUAUGACACAGAACCCAGGUGACACAGAACCCAGGUGACACGGAACCCACGUCACAGUGCCUAUACGACACGGAACCAAGGUGACAUGGGACCCAGAUGUCACAGUGCCUAUACGACACGGAACCGAGGUGCCACGAGCCCCCGUGCCGCACUGCUGGUGUCCGGAGGUGUCCGGAGGUGUCCGGAGGUGCCAGGAGGCGACACGAGCGGACAGCCCACGUUAUCAGUGCCCUCACAGCCACCCCCCUCCCCCCCCCCGACACCCACAGCGUGGGGCUGAGCGCGUGCUGUGCCCCCCCCCGGCCCUGGGGGCUCUGAUAAGGCCUUAUCACCGCCCCCACCCCACCCCACCCCCCCCCGAGGCGCUGCGUGCGCUCACGAGUGCUUUAUUGUAUAAAACAGUGGCAAACCAACACGAGUGGCCCCAAUUCGGCGUAUGGACAUUGGGGGGGGGGGGGGGGGUGGGACGGGACCACCCCCACAACCCCGCUGUGUCCCCACGUGACGUCACUGCGACGUGUCCCCUCCGUCCCCGUGUCGUGGUGAGUCCACGUGACGUCACUAUGACGCGUCACCUCCAUCCUCGUGUCGUGGUGAGUCCACGUGACGUCACUAUGACGCGUUACCUCCAUACUCGUGUCGUGGUGAGUCCAUGUGAUGUCACUAUGAGUCCAUGUGACAUCACUACAGUGUGUCAUCUCCAUCCUCGUGUCAUGGUGAGUCCAUGUGACGUCACUACGACGUGUCCCCUCCAUCAAUGUGUCACAGUGUGACAUACCCUCGUGUCGUGGUGAGUCCACGUGACAUCACUAUGACGCGUCACCUCCAUCCUCGUGUCGUGGUGAGUCUCCUCCAUCCAUGUGUCCACAGUGUGACACGUCCUCGUGUCAUGGUGAGUCCACGUGAUGUCACUGUGUGUCCAUGUGACAUCACUGUGACUUCUCCCCUCCAUCCUUGUGUCGUGGUGAGUCCAUGUGACAUCACUAUGACGUGUCGCCUCCAUCCAUGUGUCACGGUGUGACACAUCCUCGUGUCAUUGUGAGUCCACGUGACAUCACUGUGACGUGUCCCCUCCGUCCCCGUGUCGUGGUGAGUCCACGUGACGUCACUAUGACGCGUCACCUCCAUCCUCGUGUCGUGGUGAGUCCCCUCCGUCCAUGUGUCACAGUGUGACACGUCCUCGAGUGUUGUGAUGAGUCCACGUGACAUCACUAUGACACGUCACCUCCAUCCAUGUGUCACAGUGUGACACGUCCUCGUGUCAUGGUGAGUCCACGUGAUGUCACUAUGAGUCCACGUGACAUCACUACAGUGUGUCACCUUCAUCCUCGUGUCGUGGUGUGACACGUCCUCGUGUCAUGGUGAGUCCACGUGACAUCACUACGAUGUGUCCCCCUCAUCCUCGUGUCAUGGUGAGUCCACGUGAUGUCACUGUGAGUCCAUGUGACAUCACUACAGUGUGUCCCCUCCAUCCUUGUGUCGUGGUGAGUCCACGUGACGUCACUAUGACGCGUCACCUCCAUCCUCGUGUCGUGGUGAGUCCCCUCCGUCCAUGUGUCACAGUGUGACAUGUCCUCGUGUCAUGGUGAGUCCACGUGACGUCACUACAGUGUGUCCCCUCCAUCCAUGUGUCAGUGUGACACGUCCUCGUGUCAUGGUGAGUCCACGUGAUGUCACCAUGAGUCCACGUGACAUCACUAUGACGUGUCCCCUCCAUCCUCGUCUCAUGGUGAGCCCACGUGACAUCACUAUGACGUGUCCCCUCCAUCCUCGUGUCGUGGUGAGUCCCCUCCGUCCAUAGUGUCACAGUGUGACACGUCCUCGUGUCAUGGUGAGUCCACGUGAUGUCACUGUGAGUCCAUGUGACAUCACUGUGACUUCUCCCCUCCAUCCUUGUGUCGUGGUGAGUCCAUGUGACAUCACUGUGACGUGUCCCCUCCGUCCCCGUGUCGUGGUGAGUCCACGUGACGUCACUAUGACGCGUCACCUCCAUCCUCGUGUCGUGGUGAGUCCCCUCCAUCCAUGUGUCACAGUGUGACACGUCCUCGUGUUGUGGUGAGUCCACGUGAUGUCACUAUGAGUCCACGUGACAUCACUACAGUGUGUCACCUCCGUCCUCAUGUCAUGGUGAGUCCACGUGACAUCACUGUGACGUGUCCCCUCCAUCCUCAUGUCAUGGUGAGCCCAUGUGACGUCACUAUGACGCGUCCCCUCCAUCCUUGUGUCAUGGUGAGUCCACGUGAUGUCACUAUGAGUCCAUGUGACAUCACUAGUGUGUCACCUCCGUCCCCGUGUCGUGGUGAGCCCACGUGACGUCACUAUGACGUGUCCCCUCCAUCCUCGUCUCAUGGUGAGCCCACAUGACAUCACUAUGAUGUGUCCCAUCUGUACUCAUGUCAUGGUGAGCCCACGUGACCUCACUAUGACGUGUCCUCUCCAUCCUCGUGUCAUGGUGAGCCCAUGUGACGUCACUAUGACGUGUCCUCUCCAUCCUUGUGUCAUGGUGAGUCCAUGUGACAUCACUAUGAUGUGUCCCCCUCCAUCAAUGUGUCACAGUGUGACACGUCCUCGUGUCAUGGUAAGUCCAUGUGAUGUCACUAUGAGUCCAUGUGACAUCACUACAGUGUGUCACCUCCAUCCUCGUGUCAUGGUGAGCCCACAUGACAUCACUAUGACGCGUCCCCUCCAUCCUCGUGUCAUGGUGAGCCCACGUGACGUCACUAUGACACGUCCCCUCCAUCCUCGUGCCGUGGUGUGACACGUCCCCGUGUCGUGGUGAGCCCACGUGACCUCACGUCGCCGUGUCCCCUCCAUUCGGUGUCACCCCAUCCCGGGGGGUGUCCCCAACCCCCCCCUCCGCCCCCCUCUCCCCCCCCCCCCAUCCAUUAAGAGCACAGCACGUAGGGGGGGGGCAUUGGGGGGGGCCCCAACGCCAGGAGGGUCCCGGGGGGGUUCCCAUUGCACGGAAGCUCCCGUGGGGGUCUCCUGUCGUGGGGGGUUUCUUUGGGGGGUCCCCUCCUCGGGGGGGGGGGACCCUUUGUGGGGAGGGGCCAGGUUGGCGUAGGGGCCGCCGGGGGGGGUCGUGGGGGGGGGGCGAUUUGGGGGUGCCCCCUGGGGCAGAGCAGGGCCGAGCCGGGGUCAAACAGCGUGUACUCAAAGCUGGAGGCGGGCGAGGGGCCGCU